Molecule: long non-coding RNA, 1232 nt
Organism: Monomorium pharaonis (pharaoh ant)
Lineage: Eukaryota; Metazoa; Arthropoda; Insecta; Hymenoptera; Formicidae
Exons: 2
Source: RefSeq, a predicted model, not a curated record
CACAAAUUUCGCUCCAAGUAACACGCGCGCGCGCGCGCGCGCGCACGCGCACACACACAUCUUUAUCUCUCGCUACAUCUCUGUACAUCCCUCCCUACAUUACACGGCACAGAUCAGCUCUGUGCGUGUGUGUGUGCGUGCGUGCGUGUGUGUGUGCGUGCGUGCGUGCGUGCGUGUGUGUAUGUGUGUGUAGGAGGGGGGGGGGGGUGCGCAUGUGGGUGCUGCCGUCAUCAAGUGGCCUGGAGUGCCUCCGAUCGCAAACGCCAUUAACCUGCUAAAAGUGGAGAGCUAUAAGGAACUUUUAUUAAUCCACAUGAUGUAUUUGGCUGGUCAAACUAUCUAAUCUAAUUCUCCAUGAUCCAUUUUGAAAUCCAAUACGCAUCUCGAUGCCGUCCAUCCUCCACUGAAAGCUCCUAGACUAUUUCGAGUGCGAGUCAAGCUUCCCCAAAUUUAUAAGCAGAAACGGAGUGGGUGGCCGAGGGAGACGAGGGAGUGAAUUAAUACUGUGAGUUAAAUUAAACCCCGUGCCACGAUUCACAACGCUGACUUUGUGCGACACAUUCCUCUCGACAGUCUCGACGGCCUGCUUCUUGAUGUUUGCUAUUAUUUCUCACUCUACUUGUAGAAUCAAUCUUAAACAAAAUUCUGAAAUAAUUGUAACAAAAAUUGUUAAUUUUUUAAUUUUUUUUUUAUUUUUAUUAUAAAUGGAAAGCUUUAGUACAAAAUAAUGUACAGAAUAAUAUUUUUUUGGUGCUCUAUUUUCUAUAACGGCAAAUUUAUUAAUUUUGUCAAAAAAUUAUAAGUUUUUCUAAUUUUUGCAAAAAUGACAUGAUAAUUAAAAAAUUUUUCUAUAUAACGUGAAUAUCCAUAAUCAAUUAAUACUUAUGCUAUUAUUUUUAAUAUAUAUGUGUCAUGACACACUCUUUUUCUUAAAAAAUGUAAAUAUUUAUAUGUAAGUAAUUUCAGAUGCUUUGGAAAACGUUAAGAAAACCGUGAAUCUCUUACAUUAAUGUCAAUUUGAUAUAGCUGAACUGGUUGUAAACAAAAACAUGAGAGUACAGUUUUGGGAUUUAUCCAAAUUUAUUGUUGUUUUGGGUACACACUAUUAUCGGAUAAUAGUAAAAUUUAAGCAUAUGUAGAUUGUUAAUAAAAUAAUUACAAACUUAAGAAAUUGUGUAAUACAUUAUGUGUGUAUAGUAAAUGUGUGUGUGUGUGUGUAUGUGUGUAGCAAA